AGUUGACGCUUGACGAGCAAGAUGGAGGCUUGGGAAAGAAGCGGGUCAAACGGAUUAAAUACGCGGAGAAAGAAUAACCGGAUGCAAGGAAUGUCUUAUGGAACUCCAGAUGAGGAUCAAGCUAGAAAGGAGAACCGAACACAUGUCUCGAAGCUUCCGCAACAAUCUUAUUUUGUUCUAGUUUAAAAAGUGGAUAUUGUAAACACUUGAAAUUAUAUUUUGGAAUGUUUUAAAUUAUGUAAAAACUUUAUCUUGGAAAAGUUUUUGUAAGCUUGCAUUGUCGUAUAAAA
This is a long non-coding RNA of Helianthus annuus (common sunflower), 290 nucleotides long. RefSeq lists it as uncharacterized. The transcript is spliced from 2 exons. Lineage: Eukaryota; Viridiplantae; Streptophyta; Magnoliopsida; Asterales; Asteraceae. The record is from RefSeq and is a predicted model, not a curated record.